Long non-coding RNA from Papaver somniferum (opium poppy), 2191 nucleotides. RefSeq lists it as uncharacterized. The transcript is spliced from 17 exons. The record is from RefSeq and is a predicted model, not a curated record. Lineage: Eukaryota; Viridiplantae; Streptophyta; Magnoliopsida; Ranunculales; Papaveraceae.
GUUCAUCCAUUCUCUCUAUCCAGCCGAAACAAGAAAAAGAAGAGAUAAGAACAGUAGCUGGUGGCGAAGAAAAAGAUAAAGAAAAGGGAAGUUGUACCGAUUUAUUGGGGUUUCAGUUUUAUUGUUUUUAUGAGUUGAAGAACAACUACUGUUGCUAGUCCUGCUUCUUCAGGCUGUUAUUCGACAAAACCUAAAAAAUCUGAACGCUGGUUUGGGGCAAGUAGUAAACCCUAAUCUAAUCUAAGUUUUAGAUAUUGUGAUGAAUAAUUUUGCGAGUUGCAAGAAUCAGAUUAUGGAUCUCUGUAUUGAAUGUCAAGAAAAUCAAGCAAAGCCCUAACACCGAACAUUGAUUUGUUGUAUGUUUAUUUAUGAAAUUUGGUGGUGGUGCCUAGUUAUGUUGGCGAUAGUGGUGUGUUAGUUAUGGUGUGGCUCAACUAUCACCCACCGCCACCAGCACCUUCAAUAACAUCCACCAAUCGCCAACUCAGUGUCCACAAAUGAGAUUAUGUGUUUUCAUAUAUGCACAAUUAAGCGGCUGUUCAAGAAAACAUGGUAAAGCCUAGGCUCUUAUAUUUUCGCAAAUGACCUCAAUUUUCUUGUGUAUAUGAAUUUGAUUUGCUGUGGAAUAAGUAGGUAAGUCGAUAUCAUUUUGAUUUGAUUUCCGUGUUUAAAAAUCCAGUCCAUAUUAACUUGUUAAAAGCUCUUUACAUAUAUAAUUUUCUUAACUUUUCUUAUUUAAAAUGGGAAUUCAUGGUCUGAUCUUCUUCUGUGUAUCAUUGUUCUCGGGUGUUUUUGUUAACGGAGAAGGAGGACUAUCAUUCAAAGUGAUGCAUAAAUUUGGAGGUGAAGCUAACAGGUCACUUAAGGACGGCAAAGCUACUGGAACCAGGCUUUACUACACAAAACUUGCAAUUGGAUCUCCUCCGAAAGAUUAUCUUCUCGAAGUAGAUACUGGUAGUGAUGUUUCAUGGGUUAACUGCGCCUAGUGUAGCCCUUGCAGUCCUACUUAUACUGCCGAAGACCAAAGAUCCCAUGGCCACUCUUGGAUGUUUGUUCUCUAAAAACGUUUGUGAAUAUGGAGACGGAAAUGGAAGUGCUGGAUACGUUGUUCAAGACAUUGUUGAGUCUGAUCUAGUACUGGAAAUCUUCAAACAACUAUUGGAAAUGCAUAUAUAUUCUAUUUGGAUACAAUGGCGUGCGCUUGAUGAGAUUAAUGCUGGAGUUUGUGAUGGAAUGACAAACGAAGAAAUAAAGAAAAACAUGCCCGAAGGAUAUGAGUCUCGUAAGAAGGACAAGAUGAGGUACCGCUACCCUCAGGGGGGGUCUUAUCUUGAUGUUAUCCAAAGGUUAGAGUCUGCGAUUAUGGAGACUGAACGUCAGCGCUCACCUGUUGUGAUUUCGCACCAGGCUGUAUUGAGGGAGUUAUAUGCAUAUUUUGUUGACAGGCCUUUGAAAUAAAAUUCCAGAUAUUGAGAUACCAUUGCAUAAUACAAUCGAGACACAAAUGGGGUCAUUGGGGUUCCAGAGAAACAAUACAAACUCAUGGAUUGAACUUGUUGUCACACAUCUUUAAAUCGGUUGAGUAUUAUUUCAGUGAUGCAAAUUAGGCGAAGUCUUCGAAGCUUGUUGCAAUUGAAGAUGGAAGUAGGUCAAGCAUCAAAAUUCAUUCACCGACUCAGAUAUGGAAGGAUUGCAGGUAUAUAGAUGUGAUUCGUCAGUUGAUCGACAAAGCAGGAGAUUUCGCCAGUGAUGACAUUUGGUACCGUGUUGUGCAGUUUGUGACAAACAACAAAGAUAUACAUCCUUAUGCAGCAGAAAAAAGGUAGAGAGUAUCUCGACAAGCCCGCUAUACAUGAAACAAUGGUCAAGUUAGGCUCAUCAGCUGUGCAAGAUAUCAAGUAACAUGUUUCCGGAUAAAGGCCUACUGAUUGUGUGUUCUGCACCGAAUUAUUGCUAUAUGUGUGGAAACAUAGCUCUGAGACUGAGCUUCAGUGAUAAUACGGUAUAUUAUAGGAUCUUGUAGGUUUGUUUUUUUUCCUUUAACUUGGGUCAUGUGCGUUGGAUUGUACUUGAAGUUAAGUUGUUUUUUUCUUUUCAGCGUAGAACAUUGUAUGAAUCUCAACAUAAAACACUGUAUGUCAAUUGCCAAAUUUAUUUGUUGGUUAAUGGAUCAAUUAUAAUCAUUGUAGUU